This 403-nucleotide ribosomal RNA is filed under the name uncultured bacterium. RNAcentral's name for it is "partial 16S ribosomal RNA". It matches the Rfam family "Bacterial small subunit ribosomal RNA", at positions 28 to 526 of the family's 1533-position model. The record is from RNAcentral.
GACGAACGCUGGCGGCGUGCCUAAUACAUGCAAGUCGAACGCAGUGGGGACGGGUGAGUAACACCUGGGUAACCUCCCAUCAGAGGGGAUAACACUUGGAAACAGGUGCUAAACCCAUACUGAUGGAUGAACCCGCGGUGCAUUAGCUAGUUGGUGGGGUAACGGCUCACCAAGGCGACGAUGCAUAGCCGAUCUGAGAGGAUGACCGGCCACACUGGAACUGAGACACGGCCCAGACUCCUACGGGAGGCAGCAGUAGGGAAUCUUCGGCAAUGGACGAAAGCCUGAUCGAGCCACGCCGCGUGAAUGAAGAAGGCCUUCGGAUCGUAAAAUUCUGUUGGCAGAGAAGCGGUAUCUACCCAGAAAGCCACGGCUAACUACGUGCCAGCAGCCGCGGUAAUAC